CCUACGGGAGGCAGCAGUGAGGAAUAUUGGUCAAUGGACGAGAGUCUGAACCAGCCAAGUAGCGUGAAGGAUGACUGCCCUAUGGGUUGUAAACUUCUUUUAUAUGGGAAUAAAAUGUUCCACGUGUGGGCUUUUGUAUGUACCAUAUGAAUAAGGAUCGGCUAACUCCGUUCCAGCAGCCGCGGUAAUACGGAGGAUCCGAGCGUUAUCCGGAUUUAUUGGGGUUAAAGGGAGCGUAGGUGGAUUGUUAAGUCAGUUGUGAAAGUGUGCGGCUCAACCGUAAAAUUGCAGUUGAAACUGGCAGUCUUGAGUACAGUAGAGGUGGGCGGAAUUCGUGGUGUAGCGGUGAAAUGCUUAGAUAUCACGAAGAACUCCGAUUGCGAAGGCAGCUCACUGGACUGCAACUGACACUGAGGCUCGAAAGUGUGGGUAUCAAACAGGAUUAGAUACCCUAGUAGUC
Molecule: ribosomal RNA, 460 nt
Filed under: uncultured bacterium
Lineage: Bacteria
Description: partial 16S ribosomal RNA
Rfam family: Bacterial small subunit ribosomal RNA
Source: RNAcentral